This 200-nucleotide ribosomal RNA is filed under the name uncultured bacterium. RNAcentral describes it as "partial 16S ribosomal RNA". It matches the Rfam family "Bacterial small subunit ribosomal RNA", at positions 29 to 257 of the family's 1533-position model. The record is from RNAcentral.
AGCGAACGCUGGCGGCAGGCCUAAUACAUGCAAGUCGAGCGGCCCUUCGGGGUAGCGGCAGACGGGUGAGUAACGCGUGGGAACGUGCCCUUUGGUACGGAACAACUGAGGGAAACUUCAGCUAAUACCGUAUGUGCCCGUUCGGGGGAAAGAUUUAUCGCCAUUGGAGCGGCCCGCGUUAGAUUAGCUAGUUGGUGGGG